Molecule: long non-coding RNA, 1724 nt
Filed under: Homo sapiens (human)
Lineage: Eukaryota; Metazoa; Chordata; Mammalia; Primates; Hominidae
Description: PAX6 upstream antisense RNA
Source: RNAcentral
GUGUGUGUCCCACUGGCGAUGUCGGUAUGUCAGCGUGUGUCGUGUGUGCCACCGGUCAUCUGUGUGUGGUGCGUGUGUCUCCGCACCACGACUCCCUCUCCUGGGUCUGCUCAGUCCACGGAGGCAGCUCCCCUUCAGCUGUUGCCAGAAAACCGGGGAGGAAACGUCCAUGGAGCGCCUCGGGGAACACGCAUGGACAAUUAAACACACCCACUUACGGCGGGAUGAUGAGGCUUUCUGUUAACCACAUGUGUUCAGAAAUGGAUACAGCCCUAAUUUUGACACGGAAUGCAGCUAAUGCACCUUGCUAUAGAUGUACGUCCGUUGGAAAAGUGUGUGAUGGGCACCUGAUCUACACCAAGAGAACAGGGCUGUCUGCAGAAGACCCAGCGGCCUGACACCUUUUCUUGUUGCCGGGGAAGGAAAGUUUUUCUUUUGAUUUGUCCUCUCACGAUUUUUCCCUUUUCCUUUGCAUUACAGUUUCAGAGAGGAAUGUAAAUAUUUUGACUAGACCUCUGCAGGGGCCUUUUAAACACCAGGCACAAUCAUCUGUGGAAUACUGUAGUUCAUACUUUCAAAACUUGGGUGUUAAAGAGUCUGUCUUGCUGAGGAAACCCAUAGAACUAGUGGCGACCUUUCAACUCCCUAUUUGUGUGAUGAAAUGAAGUAUGCCCUAGUGAUUGUCGAAUUUUAAGGACUUGUUCUGUCACUGCUACUUUCCGAUCGUUUGCAGGGAAGAAAAAUCAAUCAAACAGACCUUUGAUGGGGUUGUGGCAAGGUCACAUUUCACUGUGCUCCAGGCUUACCUCUUCUUAACGCCCCUCCCUGCUGUGGAGCGUGUGCAGGUAGUAUGCAAAACUCUAGAAAUAAUAUUUGAAAAAAUUAACACCUUGUUUAUCUCUUCUGUGUAUUUGAUAUAGGGGUUUCUUUCUUUUCCUGUUUUGGUGUUUAAUACAAGGCUGAUAUAUUGGAACAGAAUGCAGACUUCAAAGAAACUAAAAUUAGGAGGCAAAUAGCGUCAAGGUUUCCUCGGUUUCUGUAUGUAGUACAAAUAGUAUAGCGUCUUUUCAUCCAAAAAGAAGCAAAAAUUGCCAGGAGGCAUAAAGCAUCUCUGAAUAUCCGUUUUUUUUAAAGAAACAAACAUUUCCCAAAUAUUGAUGUACGCAUGGUUUUAUAGUCUGAAAAUAUUUCUAGGCACAAAUAUGGCAUACAAACAUUCGUUUCAACUCUGUCGUUGUUGUUAAAAUGACAGUAAAUUAUAGUUUAUUUUAAGAUACCUCCCUGUUAAUGUCAGUUGAGGUUAUUUUAGGGCCUGGAUGCUCUAGGAAGACCACCUAAAAUGUGUUUAUUUCUCUGCCCAAUUCACCUAUAGUGUAAGGAGCAUUUUAUUUUAUUUUAUUUUAUUUUAUUUUAUUUUAUUAUACUUUAAGUUUUAGGGUACAUGUGCACAAUGUGCAGGUUUGUUACAUGUGUAUACUUGUGCCAUGUUGGUGUGAUGCACCCAUUAACUCGUCAUUUAGCAUUAGGUAUAUCUCCUAAUGCUAUCCCUCCCCUCCCCCCAUCCCACAACAGUCCCCAGAGUGUCAUGUAAGGAGCAUUUUAAAUAAAAUAUUUUGGGCAUCCUUAAGUCCUUUUUUAAAAAUCCAACAUUCUACAAUUGUGACAAAUAGGCUGAAAAAUUUUGUUUUGUUUAUACCAAAUUCAUUUUAAUAAAGCAUUUGCUG